AGUGAACGCUGGCGGUAGGCCUAACACAUGCAAGUCGAACGGCAGCACAGGAGAGCUUGCUCUCUGGGUGGCGAGUGGCGGACGGGUGAGGAAUACAUCGGAAUCUGCCCAGUCGUGGGGGAUAACGUAGGGAAACUUACGCUAAUACCGCAUACGACCUUCGGGUGAAAGAGGGGGAUCGCAAGACCUCUCGCGAUUGGAUGAGCCGAUGUCGGAUUAGCUAGUUGGCGGGGUAAUGGCCCACCAAGGCGACGAUCCGUAGCUGGUCUGAGAGGAUGAUCAGCCACACUGGAACUGAGACACGGUCCAGACUCCUACGGGAGGCAGCAGUGGGGAAUAUUGGACAAUGGACGCAAGCCUGAUCCAGCCAUACCGCGUGGGUGAAGAAGGCCUUCGGGUUGUAAAGCCCUUUUGUUGGGAAAGAAAUCUUUCAGGCUAAUACCCUGGGAGGAUGACGGUACCCAAAGAAUAAGCACCGGCUAACUUCGUG
This 490-nucleotide ribosomal RNA is filed under the name uncultured bacterium. RNAcentral describes it as "partial 16S ribosomal RNA". It matches the Rfam family "Bacterial small subunit ribosomal RNA", at positions 29 to 507 of the family's 1533-position model. The record is from RNAcentral.